GAGAGAGACAUGCGCGCAUAUCAAUAAGCGGAGGAAAAGAAACUAACAAGGAUUCCCUUAGUAACGGCGAGUGAAGCGGGAAGAGCUCAAAUUUGAAAUCUUCAAGGUUUUACCUUGACGAAUUGUAGUUUAAAGAAGUGUUUUCUGCUGAAGUUUUGGUAAAAGUUCUUUGGAAUAGGACAUCAUAGAGGGUGAGAAUCCCGUAUUUGACCAUUAUUUUCAGCUUUGUGAUACACUUUCGAAGAGUCGGAUUGUUUGGGAAUGCAGUCCAAAAUGGGUGGUAAAUCUCAUCUAAAGCUAAAUAUUGGCGAGAGACCGAUAGCGAACAAGUACCGUGAGGGAAAGAUGAAAAGAACUUUGAAAAGAGAGUUAAACAGUACGUGAAAUUGUCAAAAGGGAAGCGUUUGACACCAGUGUUGUUUUCUCGAAAAUCAAUUAAGAAUGGCUCGAUUUUGUAUUGCUUGAGACCUUAAAAGCUCACUGUACAUUUUUCGUGUCUUUUUUAAUGCACUUUUCGUUUAACAAGUCAACAUCAGUUUCUUUUGUUGUAAAAGGGUCAUUGGAAGGUGGCUUUCUUUUCGGAGAAAGUGUUUAUAGCCUUUGGCCUCUGCAAUCGAAGAGACUGAGGUCUGCAGCGUAGACUCUUCGGGGUUAGAUACAUUUGUGCUAAGUUAUAGCUUUUUAUAGACAACUUGUUGACUAUAAUUAGUCUUGUAGCUUACUCGCUUAUGCUAUUUUACCUACGCUUAGGAUGUUGAAGAUGUAGCACAUCAU
RNAcentral lists this ribosomal RNA (774 nucleotides) under uncultured Neocallimastigales. RNAcentral describes it as "partial large subunit ribosomal RNA". It matches the Rfam family "Eukaryotic large subunit ribosomal RNA", at positions 23 to 620 of the family's 3401-position model. Lineage: Eukaryota; Fungi; Neocallimastigomycota; Neocallimastigomycetes; Neocallimastigales. The record is from RNAcentral.